RNAcentral lists this ribosomal RNA (545 nucleotides) under Pseudarthrobacter siccitolerans. RNAcentral describes it as "bacterial SSU rRNA". It matches the Rfam family "Bacterial small subunit ribosomal RNA", at positions 915 to 1456 of the family's 1533-position model. Lineage: Bacteria; Bacillati; Actinomycetota; Actinomycetes; Micrococcales; Micrococcaceae. The record is from RNAcentral.
GGGGGCCCGCACAAGCGGCGGAGCAUGCGGAUUAAUUCGAUGCAACGCGAAGAACCUUACCAAGGCUUGACAUGAACCGGUAAGACCUGGAAACAGGUCCCCCGCUUGCGGUCGGUUUACAGGUGGUGCAUGGUUGUCGUCAGCUCGUGUCGUGAGAUGUUGGGUUAAGUCCCGCAACGAGCGCAACCCUCGUUUUAUGUUGCCAGCACGUGAUGGUGGGGACUCAUAGGAGACUGCCGGGGUCAACUCGGAGGAAGGUGGGGACGACGUCAAAUCAUCAUGCCCCUUAUGUCUUGGGCUUCACGCAUGCUACAAUGGCCGGUACAAAGGGUUGCGAUACUGUGAGGUGGAGCUAAUCCCAAAAAGCCGGUCUCAGUUCGGAUUGGGGUCUGCAACUCGACCCCAUGAAGUCGGAGUCGCUAGUAAUCGCAGAUCAGCAACGCUGCGGUGAAUACGUUCCCGGGCCUUGUACACACCGCCCGUCAAGUCACGAAAGUUGGUAACACCCGAAGCCGGUGGCCUAACCCCUUGUGGGAGGGAGCUGU